AGCACGAUGGCCGAGUGGUUAAGGCGUUGGACUUAAGUUCCAAUGGACAAAAGUCCGCGUGGGUUCGAACCCCACUCGUGCUA
Molecule: transfer RNA, 83 nt
Filed under: Octopus vulgaris (common octopus)
Lineage: Eukaryota; Metazoa; Mollusca; Cephalopoda; Octopoda; Octopodidae
Also listed under: 1 other name
Rfam family: tRNA
About the family: Transfer RNA (tRNA) molecules are approximately 80 nucleotides in length. Their secondary structure includes four short double-helical elements and three loops (D, anti-codon, and T loops).
Source: Rfam by way of RNAcentral